UUGGAUUUUAUGUAGAUUAAUUAUCUAAAAUCAUAUAAAACUUUACAAUUAUUAUAAGAUAGUACUUGAAUAUAAAUAGUAGUUUAUUUUUAUUAAAAUAUAUAAAAUUAUAAUUAACCUUUAAUACAUAUACACAAUAAGAUCAAAAUAGUAACUAGUAAUGGUUUUCAACACAUUUGUUGUUCAAUGUUUUUUCAGUUAAAACAUACAAGCUGAAUUCAAAAUUUUGAUUUUUGAUUACAAAUUAUAAAGUACUUGUAUCAAAUGUCUUCAAAGCAUUAAAAAUACUACCUCUAUGCUUGAUUUGUUUAAGUUCUUAUUGGUUAUA
This 328-nucleotide long non-coding RNA is filed under the name Physcomitrium patens. Its description in RNAcentral is "long non-coding RNA (PPAT_LNC002382)". Lineage: Eukaryota; Viridiplantae; Streptophyta; Bryopsida; Funariales; Funariaceae. The record is from RNAcentral.